This 406-nucleotide ribosomal RNA is filed under the name uncultured bacterium. RNAcentral's name for it is "partial 16S ribosomal RNA". It matches the Rfam family "Bacterial small subunit ribosomal RNA", at positions 30 to 526 of the family's 1533-position model. The record is from RNAcentral.
AUUGAACGCUGGCGGCAGGCCUAACACAUGCAAGUCGAGCGAGCGGCGGACGGGUGAGUAAUGUCUGGGAAACUGCCUGAUGGGGGGGGAUAACUACUGGAAACGGUAGCUAAUACCGCAUACUAUUGGAGCGGCCGAUAUCGGAUUAGCUAGUUGGUGGGGUAACGGCUCACCAAGGCGACGAGCCCUAGCUGGUCUGAGAGGAUGACCAGCCACACGGGAACUGAGACACGGUCCAGACUCCUACGGGAGGCAGCAGUGGGGAAUAUUGCACAAUGGGCGCAAGCCUGAUGCAGCCAUGCCGCGUGUGUGAAGAAGGCCUUCGGGUUGUAAAGCACUUUCAGCGGGGAGGCGUUACCCGCAGAAGAAGCACCGGCUAACUCCGUGCCAGCAGCCGCGGUAAUUC